GACGAACGCUGGCGGCGUGCCUAACACAUGCAAGUCGAGCGGGGUUGAAGCGAGGGGUAACUCGAGUUUCUACCUAGCGGCGGACGGGUGAGUAACGCGUGGGCAACCUGCCUCAAGGACUGGGAUAACAGCUCGAAAGGGCUGCUAAUACCGGAUAAGCCUAUGGCCUCGCAUGGGGCCAUGAGCAAAGGGGAAACCUGCCUUGAGAUGGGCCCGCGUCCCAUCAGCUAGUUGGUGAGGUGAAGGCUCACCAAGGCGACGACGGGUAGCCGGCCUGAGAGGGUGACCGGCCACACUGGGACUGAGACACGGCCCAGACUCCUACGGGGGCAGCAGUGGGGAAUCUUGCACAAUGGGCGAAAGCCUGAUGCAGCGACGCCGCGUGAGCGAAGAAGGCCUUGGUUGUAAAGCUCUGUCUGGAGGGACGAAGGAAGUGACGGUACCUCCGGAGGAAGCCACGGCUAACUACGUG
This 472-nucleotide ribosomal RNA is filed under the name uncultured bacterium. Its description in RNAcentral is "bacterial SSU rRNA". It matches the Rfam family "Bacterial small subunit ribosomal RNA", at positions 28 to 507 of the family's 1533-position model. The record is from RNAcentral.